Molecule: long non-coding RNA, 811 nt
Organism: Gadus morhua (Atlantic cod)
Lineage: Eukaryota; Metazoa; Chordata; Actinopteri; Gadiformes; Gadidae
Exons: 4
Source: RefSeq, a predicted model, not a curated record
ACCCAACAACAUACCGGAGACCCAAAAGAAAAAUCAAGUAUGACUUUUAUGCUUUUAGGGCCUUUUGUUCCAACAUAUUUGUGCAAAGCCAGUCUCUUUAUGAACUCAUGUAUUUGUCUUUUGUUUUGUCUGUCUCUAAUAAAGGCCAAGUAGACACGUCCGAUCGGACUUUGAAAGUCAAGACCCCUGCAGUCCUCCAAAGAAACAGGCCUUCCCAAUCCUCCCUGAGGCCCCUGCUAUCGCUGGACCGUCCAACUUCAGGCGCUUCAUACUAGCGCAGCCCACUCAAAGUGGGUGUUAUGAGGUCCCUGUGAACAAUGAGCAGCCUCAGGGUUUUCAGCUCUUCUGCGUGACCUGUUGGUUAACCAACAAAUACUGAUGGACCAGCAAAAGACCAUGAUUCGGAUGAUCCAAGACCUCUACAGAAACAGCCAGGGAGGUCAGAGGAUGUCCACCACCUCCAGGCAUACUGCCUAUUUUCCACUAGUGGAUAAACAGGCUCUGGAGGUCCUGGAGGGCGACCUGGCAAGCCAGCGGGAACUUCGUCAAGAAUUGGUUAUCACUCUUGGAUUGGCAGGGGGAGCUGAUGCCAAAGAUACUGUGUGGCGCAUUUUGAAACAGGCCAUCAAAAAUGACCUCGCCAAGAACAUCUCAUGGCGGGGGAUGAAUGGAAAGAUUUCAUUUGAAAAUCUACACCUGAAGGCAGUAGUGAUGGAUGCAGUGAGGCACAAUCCAUCCUGCUCAACCGCAACAGAUGUGCAGAUUGGGGAUGCCAUUAAGAGAUGGUUUUACUGGGCUGGGGAUCGGGAGG